GAUGAACGCUGGCGGCGUGCCUAAUACAUGCAAGUCGAGCGAACAGACGAGGAGCUUGCUCCUCUGACGUUAGCGGCGGACGGGUGAGUAACACGUGGAUAACCUACCUAUAAGACUGGGAUAACUUCGGGAAACCGGAGCUAAUACCGGCUAAUAUAUUGAACCGCAUGGUUCAAUAGUGAAAGACGGUUUUGCUGUCACUUAUAGAUGGAUCCGCGCCGCAUUGGCUAGUUGGUAGGGUAACGGCUUACCAAGGCAGCGAUGCGUAGCCGACCUGACAGGGGGAAGCGCGACACAGGAACUGACACACGGCACAGACACCGACGGACGGCAGCAGUAGGGACGGGUCGGCGAAGGGCGAAAGCUUGACGGAGGAACGCAGCGGGGAUGAAGAAGCGCUUCGGAUCGGAAAACGCUCUUAUGAGUGAAGACCAAAUUUGUAAGUAACGAUGCACGUCUUGACGGUACCGAAGCAGAAAGCCCCGGCUAACUACGU
RNAcentral lists this ribosomal RNA (496 nucleotides) under uncultured bacterium. Its description in RNAcentral is "partial 16S ribosomal RNA". It matches the Rfam family "Bacterial small subunit ribosomal RNA", at positions 28 to 506 of the family's 1533-position model. The record is from RNAcentral.